Molecule: ribosomal RNA, 736 nt
Filed under: Peptostreptococcus anaerobius
Lineage: Bacteria; Bacillati; Bacillota; Clostridia; Peptostreptococcales; Peptostreptococcaceae
Description: bacterial SSU rRNA
Rfam family: Bacterial small subunit ribosomal RNA
Source: RNAcentral
GAUGAACGCGGCGGCGUGCCUAACACAUGCAAGUCGAGCGCGUCUGAUUUGAUGCUUGCAUUGAUGAAAGAUGAGCGGCGGACGGGUGAGUAACGCGUGGGUAACCUGCCCUAUACACAUGGAUAACAUACUGAAAAGUUUACUAAUACAUGAUAAUAUAUAUUCACGGCAUCGUAGAUAUAUCAAAGUGUUAGCGGUAUAGGAUGGACCCGCGUCUGAUUAGCUAGUUGGUGAGAUAACUGCCCACCAAGGCGACGAUCAGUAGCCGACCUGAGAGGGUGAUCGGCCACAUUGGAACUGAGACACGGUCCAAACUCCUACGGGAGGCAGCAGUGGGGAAUAUUGCACAAUGGGCGCAAGCCUGAUGCAGCAACGCCGCGUGAACGAUGAAGGUCUUCGGAUCGUAAAGUUCUGUUGCAGGGGAAGAUAAUGACGGUACCCUGUGAGGAAGCCCCGGCUAACUACGUGCCAGCAGCCGCGGUAAUACGUAGGGGGCUAGCGUUAUCCGGAUUUACUGGGCGUAAAGGGUGCGUAGGUGGUCUUUCAAGUCGGUGGUUAAAGGCUACGGCUCAACCGUAGUUAGCCUCCGAAACUGGAAGACUUGAGUGCAGGAGAGGAAAGUGGAAUUCCCAGUGUAGCGGUGAAAUGCGUAGAUAUUGGGAGGAACACCAGUAGCGAAGGCGGCUUUCUGGACUGCAACUGACACUGAGGCACGAAAGCGUGGGUAGCAAACAGG